Molecule: ribosomal RNA, 785 nt
Filed under: Escherichia coli
Lineage: Bacteria; Pseudomonadati; Pseudomonadota; Gammaproteobacteria; Enterobacterales; Enterobacteriaceae
Description: partial 23S ribosomal RNA
Rfam family: Bacterial large subunit ribosomal RNA
Source: RNAcentral
CCACCCGAGACUCAGUGAAAUUGAACUCGCUGUGAAGAUGCAGUGUACCCGCGGCAAGACGGAAAGACCCCGUGAACCUUUACUAUAGCUUGACACUGAACAUUGAGCCUUGAUGUGUAGGAUAGGUGGGAGGCUUUGAAGUGUGGACGCCAGUCUGCAUGGAGCCGACCUUGAAAUACCACCCUUUAAUGUUUGAUGUUCUAACGUUGGCCCGUAAUCCGGGUUGCGGACAGUGUCUGGUGGGUAGUUUGACUGGGGCGGUCUCCUCCUAAAGAGUAACGGAGGAGCACGAAGGUUGGCUAAUCCUGGUCGGACAUCAGGAGGUUAGUGCAAUGGCAUAAGCCAGCUUGACUGCGAGCGUGACGGCGCGAGCAGGUGCGAAAGCAGGUCAUAGUGAUCCGGUGGUUCUGAAUGGAAGGGCCAUCGCUCAACGGAUAAAAGGUACUCCGGGGAUAACAGGCUGAUACCGCCCAAGAGUUCAUAUCGACGGCGGUGUUUGGCACCUCGAUGUCGGCUCAUCACAUCCUGGGGCUGAAGUAGGUCCCAAGGGUAUGGCUGUUCGCCAUUUAAAGUGGUACGCGAGCUGGGUUUAGAACGUCGUGAGACAGUUCGGUCCCUAUCUGCCGUGGGCGCUGGAGAACUGAGGGGGGCUGCUCCUAGUACGAGAGGACCGGAGUGGACGCAUCACUGGUGUUCGGGUUGUCAUGCCAAUGGCACUGCCCGGUAGCUAAAUGCGGAAGAGAUAAGUGCUGAAAGCAUCUAAGCACGAAACUUGCCCCGAGAUG